Molecule: ribosomal RNA, 477 nt
Filed under: uncultured bacterium
Lineage: Bacteria
Description: bacterial SSU rRNA
Rfam family: Bacterial small subunit ribosomal RNA
Source: RNAcentral
GAACGCUGGCGGAAUGCUUUACACAUGCAAGUCGAACGGUAGAGGGGGCAACCCCUCGAGAGUGGCGAACGGGUGAGUAAUAUAUCGGAACGUGCCCAGUCGUGGGGGAUAACGUAGCGAAAGUUACGCUAAUACCGCAUACGAUCUACGGAUGAAAGCGGGGGAUCGCAAGACCUCGCGCGAUUGGAGCGGCCGAUAUCAGAUUAGCUUGUUGGUGGGGUAAUGGCCUACCAAGGCGACGAUCAGUAGCUGGUCUGAGAGGAUGAUCAGCCACAAUGGGACUGAGACACGGCCCAUACUCCUACGGGAGGCAGCAGUAGGGAAUUUUGCGCAAUGGGCGAAAGCCUGACGCAGCAACACCGCGUGAGUGAAGAAGGCCUUCGGGUUGUAAAGCUCUUUCGGCUGGGAAGAAAUCGCACAGGCUAAUACUCUGUGUGGAUGACGGUACCAGCACAAGAAGCACCGGCUAACUACGUG